This 73-nucleotide transfer RNA is filed under the name Ailuropoda melanoleuca (giant panda). It matches the Rfam family "tRNA". Rfam says of the family: Transfer RNA (tRNA) molecules are approximately 80 nucleotides in length. Their secondary structure includes four short double-helical elements and three loops (D, anti-codon, and T loops). Further hydrogen bonds mediate the characteristic L-shaped molecular structure. tRNAs have two regions of fundamental functional importance: the anti-codon, which is responsible for specific mRNA codon recognition, and the 3' end, to which the tRNAs corresponding amino acid is attached (by aminoacyl-tRNA synthetases). tRNAs cope with the degeneracy of the genetic code in two manners: having more than one tRNA (with a specific anti-codon) for a particular amino acid; and 'wobble' base-pairing, i.e. permitting non-standard base-pairing at the 3rd anti-codon position. Lineage: Eukaryota; Metazoa; Chordata; Mammalia; Carnivora; Ursidae. The record is from Rfam by way of RNAcentral.
GCCUGGCUGGCUCAGUCAGUAGAGCAUGUGACUCUCGAUCUCAGCGUUGUGUGUUCGAGCCCCAUGUCAGGUG